UACGUAGGUGGCAAGCGUUGUCCGGAAUUAUUGGGCGUAAAGCGCGCGCAGGCGGCCUCUUAAGUCUGAUGUGAAAGCCCCCCGGCUCAACCGGGGAGGGCCAUUGGAAACUGGGAGGCUUGAGUAUAGGAGAGAAGAGUGGAAUUCCACGUGUAGCGGUGAAAUGCGUAGAGAUGUGGAGGAACACCAGUGGCGAAGGCGACUCUUUGGCCUACAACUGACGCUGAGGCGCGAAAGCGUGGGGAGCAAACAGG
Molecule: ribosomal RNA, 254 nt
Filed under: uncultured bacterium
Lineage: Bacteria
Description: partial 16S ribosomal RNA
Rfam family: Bacterial small subunit ribosomal RNA
Source: RNAcentral